This 605-nucleotide ribosomal RNA is filed under the name Gambierdiscus pacificus. Its description in RNAcentral is "SSU rRNA". It matches the Rfam family "Eukaryotic small subunit ribosomal RNA", at positions 55 to 666 of the family's 1831-position model. Lineage: Eukaryota; Dinophyceae; Gonyaulacales; Pyrocystaceae. The record is from RNAcentral.
AUGUCUCAGCUUAAGCUUUCUUACAACAGUGCUGUGCAUGGCUCAUUAGAACAGCUACAAUUAAGUGGAUGGUUGCUAUACAUGGACAUCUGUGGCAAUUCUGUGGCUAAUACAUGCUCAUUGGCUCAGUCAGCAUGGGUUGUGGUCAUUUUUCUCAGAAUCAAUGCAGGCGAUUCCUGCGUGCAACUCCAAGAAGAGUGACAGAAUGGAUUGCGAAGUUUUCACUGGUGCUGUGCCUUGAAAGCUUCUGACCUAUCAGCUGUCGACGGCAGGGUGGUGGCCUGCUGUGGCUGUGACAGGUGACGGAGGAUGAGGGUUUGACUCCGGAGAGGGAGCCUGAGAGAUGGCUACCACAUCUAAGGAAGGCAGCAGGCGCGCAAAUUGCCCAAUCCCAACAGAGGGAGGUAGUGACAAGAAAUAGCAAUGCAAGGCAUCCAUGUUUUGUACUUGGAAUGAAUGGCUGGCAAACUUUGUCUUUAGGAUCAAUUGGAGGGCAAGUCUGGUGCCAGCAGCCGCGGUAAUUCCAGCUCCAAUGGUAUAUAUUGGAGUUGUUGCGGUUAAAGGGCUCGUAGUUGGAUCUCUGCUGGGGAUGCCUGGUCCGCCCU